This 71-nucleotide transfer RNA is filed under the name Capra hircus (goat). It matches the Rfam family "tRNA". Rfam says of the family: Transfer RNA (tRNA) molecules are approximately 80 nucleotides in length. Their secondary structure includes four short double-helical elements and three loops (D, anti-codon, and T loops). Further hydrogen bonds mediate the characteristic L-shaped molecular structure. tRNAs have two regions of fundamental functional importance: the anti-codon, which is responsible for specific mRNA codon recognition, and the 3' end, to which the tRNAs corresponding amino acid is attached (by aminoacyl-tRNA synthetases). tRNAs cope with the degeneracy of the genetic code in two manners: having more than one tRNA (with a specific anti-codon) for a particular amino acid; and 'wobble' base-pairing, i.e. permitting non-standard base-pairing at the 3rd anti-codon position. RNAcentral also lists the same sequence under 1 other name. The record is from Rfam by way of RNAcentral. Lineage: Eukaryota; Metazoa; Chordata; Mammalia; Artiodactyla; Bovidae.
CCUCGGAUGGCUCAAAUGGUAAGAACCUGCCUGCAGUGCAGGAGACCCAGGUUCGAUCCCUGGGCUGGGAA